Strigops habroptila (Kakapo) is the source of this 2436-nucleotide long non-coding RNA. The record is from Ensembl. Lineage: Eukaryota; Metazoa; Chordata; Aves; Psittaciformes; Psittacidae.
UUUAAGAAUGAGGAUGGAUACCAAAAUCUUUAAUACAGCAGGUUCAUACAAAUACAUGGAUACCUUAUACACGCAUAGUAAAUCUAAGCACAUGACAGUGCACGUGAAGGAAACAUGAGCCUACAAUGAGUGCGUAUGAAAAUAUGAUGGUAUUUUACUCCUUUUCCUGCUUUCAACAUCAUGAAACUCUUGGGAAAAAACCGCAGUAUUUUAAAGUAACAAUCAUGCAAAAGUGCUUGCAUAUUGCAUCUGUUUGUACUCCUUGCUAUUAGCAGAUGUAAAGAUACAGCAAUAAGGACACAUCGUCAGAGAACACCAGGUCAAAUCAACUAACUUCCAUCCCAUGAUUAACUAAAUCACUUGCUAUACAUUUAAUGCUAACAGAAGUGCUGGGUGUCUCUGCUGGUCUUCUGGAUAAAGCAUAUUCCCCCAUAUUAGCAGCUUUUAUACAGCAAACAGCCAGGAAUCUUGCAAAAGAGGACUGCAAUAAUUGUUCCUGAUACCACUGACCAUUGUAAGAAUUUGUAAGACAGGAAACGGACAAGUAAGGAGGAGUUUCAGACUCUAAACCGAACAAUGUUUUUCAGUCUUUCUGUAAAUACCAACCUUGUGUUGAACUUGAUCUACUGGAAUAUUAGGAUAAAUUCUCACAGACAAUGCAUUCAAACCCACUAUGAGAUUAGGUCACUUUUGUUAAUUAUAAGCCCAGCUCUGUAGACAGCGAGUGCUUUGGCCUCCCACUUGUUUCCAGAGGACCUGAGGGUGUUCCUUCCCCUCAAGAGGAUUAAGGUUGAUAAAUCAGUGGAGAGCUAUGCAAACUUUACCUUUGAGCUGCAAAGGAACACAGUCACCUGCAAACAGCAUAUAAAGAUACCACAUAAAUACUGGAGGAACCUUAUGCUACAAGAGAAAAAUGAACAAAGCAACGUGAUGCCAAGGGGUGACAAUAAACAAGGCUGUGGGAAACUCAAGGUUCAUUUCAAAUAAAGAAGGGAUACAGAAGCUUGGUUUCAGGAGUACGUCAUAUAUUUCACUGCACCUUUGCAGCAGUUUUUGAAUGGAUUAUUUAUAAACAGGAUAUUCUGGUAAGAAGAAAAGAUACUUAUUCAAUAUGACGCAUACUAUGUGGGGUUUUUUUCUAUGCUGGCAAGACUUCACAUAGAAAUACAAUCUCUGCUCAGCAAAUUUCAGUUUAUGGCAGUAAAUUACUCUUCAGAAGCAAUACAAGAAUAUUGGAACUUAUCUCUAAUGCUUGCUGUUACAGUAAAUGCUGGAGAAAAAAAGACAUUACAUUCGAAACCCAGCCCCUUGAAAGUAAAGAAAUGUUGUUUUUCUGUGUCAUAGUUUAAUAAUAGUUGGACAGAAGAAUCAAUCUGGGGCUGGAAACCACAGUCCUAGUUUGAACUCAGCAUUGUGUUCAAAGCCCAAAAGAUCAGCAGAGCCCAGACCUCCAGAUUUUGGUCAUCAGAGUAGUAAUUGUUUUAAUCUGUUUUUCUACAUUGCAACAGCGCAAAAGCAAAAUGAAAGAAAAGCCCUUGGACAGUAACAUUCAGAAAAUCAUCUCUACCAAGAAAAUCAACUCUAGAAGGAUCUACCUGCUUAACACAAAAAAAAGUAUGCAUUUGACACUGGGACUUAUUUCAGAAAAUGCAUUUCAAAGUGCUGUAGCACAAAUAUAAUGGAGCUGCCAUGACUCACAACGUAGUUUUCAAACUGUCAGAAAAAUUCCUUUUAGAUAUAUGUAUACAAAACUAAUUUCAAUAAGACAAUAAUUUAACAUUUAUUUUUAUCUGGGAGACGCCUAACCAUACACAUUUCACCUCAAAUAGCUAAACAUGCAGACAGGCUGUGUCUUUAACCUGACCAGAAGAACUGACCAGGCAUUACUCUCAAAUCCUGUUCAGAAUAGUUUGAUUGGGCAGCAAUGCCUGUCUUGGCCUCCAAAACAUCACUGAUGAGAACCAAACAUUUGGUCCCCCUGAACUAGCAAUGUUUCCCUACGUUUUUCAGUUGGCCAACUCUCUUCACUUCCAAACUUCCUGUAAUUGGCCUGAACUUUUCCAGCCAAAAAGAACUUUCUUAAAAAUUCAAACUCCAUUUGAGAACUGUGAAGAAUUACUUUACAAUAUUUCCUCUUAGCCUGCUGCGUAAAUGACUACAUUUCAAUUACUUCCUUCCUCUGAAUUAGAUGAACUAUUUGGCAUUGGUGGAAACUAAGUCAUUUUUACUCAAUGUAACUUUUAAAUCCUGAUGAUACUACCAAAUACCGCAGUUUAGUGCAAUGUACAAAGAGGUCAUACAUUACUACUAUAGAUAGUUCUAUCCUUUCCCCCCCCUCCUCUUUAUUACCAGUAUGGUUUCCCCUUUCUGUAAAACUAUUCUCAUGAGACCUCAUUUUACAAAGCAUGGAGCGGAAAAGGCAAAUAAGAGUGCUUC